This 253-nucleotide ribosomal RNA is filed under the name uncultured bacterium. RNAcentral describes it as "partial 16S ribosomal RNA". It matches the Rfam family "Bacterial small subunit ribosomal RNA", at positions 524 to 776 of the family's 1533-position model. The record is from RNAcentral.
UACGGAGGGAGCUAGCGUUGUUCGGAAUUACUGGGCGUAAAGCGCGCGUAGGCGGCUUUGUAAGUUAGAGGUGAAAGCCCGGAGCUCAACUCCGGAACUGCCUUUAAAACUGCAUCGCUUGAAUCCAGGAGAGGUGAGUGGAAUUCCGAGUGUAGAGGUGAAAUUCGUAGAUAUUAGGAAGAACACCAGUGGCGAAGGCGGCUCACUGGUCCGGUACUGACGCUGAGGUGCGAAAGCGUGGGGAGCAAACAGG